RNAcentral lists this ribosomal RNA (207 nucleotides) under uncultured bacterium. RNAcentral describes it as "partial 16S ribosomal RNA". It matches the Rfam family "Bacterial small subunit ribosomal RNA", at positions 568 to 774 of the family's 1533-position model. The record is from RNAcentral.
CGCGUAGGCGGGCCAGCCAGUCCGGGGUGAAAUCUUUCGGCUCAACCGGAAAAGUGCCUUGGAUACUGCUGGUCUGGAGUGAGGUAGGGGCCGCGGGAACUUCCGGUGGAGCGGUGAAAUGCGUUGAUAUCGGAAGGAACGCCGGUGGCGAAAGCGCGCGGCUGGCCCUCAACUGACGCUGAGGCGCGAAAGCUAGGGGAGCAAACG